Long non-coding RNA from Sapajus apella (tufted capuchin), 3698 nucleotides. RefSeq lists it as uncharacterized. The transcript is spliced from 3 exons. The record is from RefSeq and is a predicted model, not a curated record. Lineage: Eukaryota; Metazoa; Chordata; Mammalia; Primates; Cebidae.
AUCAUCUCCUCAUAGGCUUCCUCAGCGCUCUUGAGGGGCCGUCCGGAACUGGGAGUGGUGGAGCUGCCAGAGGGUGUCUCGGUUGGAGAGAAAACUAAACUCUGAGACGUUUUAGGAACGUACCCUCAUGGUUCCCUGGCUCGGAAGUGUUGCUGCUGGCAAGAUCAGCCCUGACAGCUCUGCACAGCUCCUAGACCACAGCCUGGACAGCCUGGAUCCUGAUGCCUUCUACAGUCCUGCCUCUUCCAAAGGCCAAGUCAGGCUCUAGAAGUCAGCGCUGCAAACCCUGGCAGAGGCCCCUAAAGGUCAAUCCCAGUUCUAGAAACUCUAAGAACGGUGAUGUUGAAGCUGUGAGGUAUGAAGCCAUUCGCCUAGCUGGGAACCAUUAACAUACCCAGAUGCUUUUUAAGAAGCAAAGCAGUUUUGUCUAUGUUUGGGCAGAGAAAGCCACAGAGAAAACAAUUUCAGUCCCUGAACCCAGUCUAAAGACCUCUUUAGAAAGGUGAUUCUUAGGAAGGAGGGGCUCACUCCCAUUAAAGUGGGAGUUCCCAAAAGCAGGCCACUUCUACUCAUCCGGAGAGGGACACUGGAAGGGGAUUACUCCCCAGAGGGAAAGCUCAGCCCCUGGUUCAGGGUGGCAGCCACAAAUUCAGUUCUUGCCAUGGGUGCCCAGCCCACACCCAAGAUCUCAUCUCUCUCAUUCACCUGGCCACUGCAGCAUGCCCUGAGGUGAGACUUCUUCCCGGAAAAGGGGAUUUUGGAGGUAAGGCUUCUUAUCCUGGGACUUUGGGGUGACUCUCCCUGGGGUUCUAAAUCAGGCUCAACAAAGGCACGUGCCAAACCUCCUGCACUUACCGCCAGAACUUUCCUUUCCCCAGCCCCAGUUAUCCAGGCUGUGGCACAGGCAUCUCACCUAAAAUAGAAAUUCUCCAAGAAAAGGCUGAAACACCCCUCAAUGACUCAUCGCCCAGAUGGGUGCAGCUAUUUCUAGCCAGCCUCUUCCAGACGGUGAGGAACCUUGACCGCACCCUCCUCACAGCCCCUCCCAGGCUCAGGCCCAGCAUGCAAGACCUCCUAAGGAGGACACUGGCUGAGGGAGUUCUCUGAGGCCAAAGAGACCUCCCCAUCUCUGCCUCUCCCACAGAUCCCCAGGAGUUUCCUGGAAGGAGCCCAACCUCAGCCUCUUCCUAUCUGCUACAAGGCCCCCUCCAUCUUCCAGGGGAUGGAGGCUGUCCACGGGGUAGGGAGAAAGAUGAUAGCCGUGCACCCCAACCUACCUGCUCACCCAGCCUGGGUAUACAUGAAUAGUCCUGUGGCAGACUCCCCUGGCUUGAGUACCAGCACGAUUAGAGCCUUCCUUAGCUGCGCAGUGAUGCCUCCUCAUCAGGAGGUUGGGCCCAGAAGGCCCCCUGUGGCUCCUAGGCCUCUCCAAGCUGACUGUCCACCAGAAUCAGAAGAGCUAUGCUUCUACCAGUGUGACAAGAAGGCUCAGCUAGGGUUCUGCUGUCUAAUACCUCCAAGACCCUGAUCUGGCACAUGGGCAGAUGUACAGGCCAGCAGCCAUUAGCCUCAUGUCCCAGGAGCCUUCCUGGGGGUACCGUAAGGUGGACAGCUCUGCUGGACAUUAGCUUCUAUCAAGCUGAUCCUUCUUGCCAGCAAGGAAGCCCAUCUUGCCAUCUCCAAGGAUUGGUAGGCACCUCCAUGGAAGCCUAUGCACCCUAGCCCAGUAGGGGCCUGGAUAGCAGCAAGGAUGGGAAGGCUCAGUGCAGUACAAGGUCAAGAGGUUGUUUGAGGGGUAGGGGAAGCAGAAGCUACAGGAAGCCUUCCUACAGGCUUUGCAGGGAGCCACUGCCACCUGCUCUGCCAUGAGUCUGCUAGUGACUUGGAAAGGCAGGGCCCUGUGGGCUCUGUGGCUCUGAGAGGACUUUCUCCCUCAGAAGAGUCUUUCUUAGCUGCUUCCUUACUCAAACUGUUCAGUGUGCAGAAGGGCAGCUAAGGUGGCACUGGCUACCAAGGAUCCAGAGGCUUGGGGCCCAAGCUGGGGGCUGUAUGAACCCUAAGUUGAAUGAGGAGCUGUGAUCUGUCUGCAAUGGUCACUCCCUGCACAUUCCUCCAAUGGGCUCUGGAGCAAGGAGGGCAGCUCUGGGAAGAGCUUCUACAUCUUCCCUUGCAGGAACACUGGCUACAAAGAGUGUCUCAACCCUCAAGAGUGGGACCCAGCCUUGCUUGCCAUAUCUGGCCCCAAAGGAUGCUCACAGGGUGGAGUCUGCCUCACUGUCAACUCCAUGGCUACCAGGAAGCUCUGAGAGCCCCCAGAAGUCACAUGUUCUCUUCCCACUCCCCUCCCCUCACUCCCCAGCAGCAAGGAAAAGGAGGGCUGCAGACGUCAGUCAGCCUUUGUCCUGUGGAGAGCCCCAGCCCUACCAGGGAGAGCAGGCACUCAGUGUUUCAGAUCACUCAGCACUGACAUCACGCCUGAUGCUGCAUUCAUGUUUUCCAUUUUGGCACAAGUUGAAACAUCACAGAAACAGCUCAUAAAGGAGCCCUCCCUGCAGGUGCCAAAUCUAGAGGUUCUUAGGAGGGCCCUACUGACUAGUGUAACUAUAUGCCUUUCUGGGCUAUGAGUCACUGGCCAGGUCUCAGCUGGAGAAACAUACCUCCCCAUGUCCCAUAGAUAACAAGGACAGGCCAAUGUGCAGAAGGGCAGCUAAGGUGGCAGCUGUGAGGGAGGGAGCCAGGCCUGGCCUGGAUCCUCACACUGCUAUAGCAAUGGACAUGUCACCUGCCCCAUCUAGCACCUUAACUGUCAGCUGGCUGACCUCAGGCUUAGGAAGCAGGUACCACAGGAUCCCAGUGGGCACAGUCACACUGAUCCAGAGCUGGACCAGCCAGGUGAGGCCUGUGCCAAUCUAUCAGAGUCCUGAGGAAGGUCUUGGAAACCUACCCAGCAUCUGAGGUCAAGAUCUGGGGAGUGGAGGGUGAACCUAAUCGCUUCUUGGGGCUAGAAGGCCUCACUGGCUUGGAUCUUCACAAAAGGGAGGAAAUCCAUUCCCUUGUUGAUCCCUGAACACAUCUGCCUCUCCGCCUCCAGUAUUUCUCAACUCCUCCCACACUGCUCUAGACAGCCUCCCCUCCCUCCCAGCCUGAUCCAGUGCACCCUGUAACGCACCCCGUCCAUGACCUGCCAACUCACCUGCACCCUCCCCAUACACGCUUCUCUUAGUCCCCAGUCACCCUCUCCAGGUGUGCCCUUGGACUAGCCUCAACUUCUCCUUAAAAUCCCCAGGACCCUUUGGCUCAUCCCCAGCUUCCCCACAUUUCUCCCUGGCUUCUGCUGCCCUCCUAGCCCCUUCAUCCUGGCCUGCAAGUCCUUGGCCCUUGCCUCCUAAACUCCCACUAAAUGACUCUCAUGGUCACUCCAGAUGACCUGCAACCCACAUGGGGCUGAGCUGCAGACCGCUUCUCAAAGCUUACCAACUGGAAUAAUUAAUCUCUGUACAUUGCAUUAUAUGUAAACUUUACCUAAAAAAAAAGAAACCUUACAUAAAUGCUGAACUCUAGUUAAUGAUAUGCUUGGUGAAGUGCUUAGUUGGAAGUAUACUGAUGUCAGCAAUGUACUGUUUUUUUUUGUUUGUUUGUUUGUUUUUUUGAGACAGGGUCUGGUUCUGUUACCCAGGUUGAUGUGCAGCAGCAUGAUC